RNAcentral lists this ribosomal RNA (555 nucleotides) under Malassezia furfur. RNAcentral describes it as "LSU rRNA". It matches the Rfam family "Eukaryotic large subunit ribosomal RNA", at positions 61 to 621 of the family's 3401-position model. The record is from RNAcentral. Lineage: Eukaryota; Fungi; Basidiomycota; Malasseziomycetes; Malasseziales; Malasseziaceae.
GAAACUAACAAGGAUUCCCCUAGUAACGGCGAGUGAAGAGGGAAGAGCUCAAAUUUGAAAGCUGGUACCUUCGGUAUCCGCGUUGUAACCUCGAGACACGUUUUCCGUGCGGCGCUAUGGACAAGUUCCUUGGAACAGGACAUCGUAGAGGGUGAAAAUCCCGUACUUGCCAUGGAUGUACCGUGCUUUGCGAUACGUGCUCUAAGAGUCGAGUUGUUUGGGAUUGCAGCUCAAAAUGGGUGGUAGACUCCAUCUAAAGCUAAAUAUCGGGGAGAGACCGAUAGCGAACAAGUACCGUGAGGGAAAGAUGAAAAGCACUUUGGAAAGAGAGUUAAAAGUACGUGAAAUUGUCGAAAGGGAAGCGCUUGAAGUCAGCCAUGCCGCUCAGGACUCAGCCUGGCUUUUGCUUGGUGUAUUUCCUGGGUAGCAAGUCAGCAUUGGUUUGGAUCGUCGGAGAAGCAUAGUCGGAAUGUGGCGCCCUCGGGCGUGUUAUAGCCUUCUAUUGGAUACGACGAUCUAGACCAAGGAACGCAGCGCGCCUUAUGGCGGGUCUUC